This 351-nucleotide ribosomal RNA is filed under the name Triticum aestivum (bread wheat). RNAcentral's name for it is "partial small subunit ribosomal RNA". The record is from RNAcentral. Lineage: Eukaryota; Viridiplantae; Streptophyta; Magnoliopsida; Poales; Poaceae.
AUGGCGGAUGAACCGUCUGCCAAGCGUCCGCGUGGUGAGAUGUCCGACCAGAGCACUGAGGUUGACAAUGUUCAGGUCCCCGGUCAGAAGCACGACUACAAGGUGCACCUCAAAGAGGUUGGUAUCCACGGCAAGGAAAAGCUAGAUGUUGUAUGCACCAGCAAUCCUGACGAAGCCGACAAGAUGAUUAGCAGGAUCCUGAAGAGGGUCUGCGGCUCGUACCCUCAGUUUAUCAGCGUUGAUGUCGAGUAUACCAGGGAGCACGAACCUUCGCAGAGGGCAGCGGUUCUGAAGUUAUGCGUGGAGGAACUGUGUCUGGUAUACCACAUCACCGCUGCAACUAAAUGGUGA